Camelina sativa (false flax) is the source of this 327-nucleotide non-coding RNA. The record is from RefSeq and is a predicted model, not a curated record. Lineage: Eukaryota; Viridiplantae; Streptophyta; Magnoliopsida; Brassicales; Brassicaceae.
AGAGAGGCUUUGCAUCAAAUGGUUCUUCUUAGGGCGUAUAAGGAGAAGAAACAAAGCCGUACAAAGAGGGCUCUUCCUUGGGCAUAAACCACCAUUUUUCGUUUUAUCUGAAAUCUUCGUCUCUCUCGUAAGAUCUAACCGCAACAACUGCUUAAGAUGGAUAGGUAUCACAGAGUGGAGAAGCCGAAGGCGGAUACGCCGAUUGAUGCGAACGAGAUUCGAAUCACUAGUCAAGGCAGGGCACGAAACUACAUCACCUAUGCGAUGACUCUUCUUCAGGAAAAUGGUUCAAGUGAAGUUGUAUUCAAGGCAAUGGGAAGAGCUAUC